This 98-nucleotide microRNA precursor is filed under the name Loxodonta africana (African savanna elephant). Its description in RNAcentral is "mir-544 microRNA precursor family". It matches the Rfam family "mir-544 microRNA precursor family". The record is from Rfam by way of RNAcentral. Lineage: Eukaryota; Metazoa; Chordata; Mammalia; Proboscidea; Elephantidae.
AUCUCCUGAGAAUUCUGUUAAAAUGCAGGUUCUGCUUCAGUAGGUCUAGGAUGGGGUCUGAGAUUCUGCAUUUCUAACAGACUCUCAGUUGAUGGUUC